Molecule: microRNA, 22 nt
Filed under: Ornithorhynchus anatinus (platypus)
Lineage: Eukaryota; Metazoa; Chordata; Mammalia; Monotremata; Ornithorhynchidae
Description: oan-miR-1421d-5p
Source: miRBase by way of RNAcentral
UGGAAGUCGCACGUCAUGCCGU